RNAcentral lists this ribosomal RNA (253 nucleotides) under uncultured bacterium. RNAcentral's name for it is "partial 16S ribosomal RNA". It matches the Rfam family "Bacterial small subunit ribosomal RNA", at positions 524 to 776 of the family's 1533-position model. The record is from RNAcentral.
UACGUAGGGGGCAAGCGUUGUCCGGAUUUAUUGGGCGUAAAGAGCGUGUAGGCGGCUUGGUAGGUCCGCUGUGAAAACUCGAGGCUCAACCUCGAGAUGUCGGCGGAAACCACUUGGCUAGAGUCCGGAAGAGGAGAGUGGAAUUCCCGGUGUAGCGGUGAAAUGCACAGAUAUCGGGAAGAACACCUAUGGCGAAGGCAGCUCUCUGGGACGGUACUGACGCUGAGACGCGAAAGCGUGGGGAGCGAACAGG